GAUGAACGCUGGCGGCGUGCUUAACACAUGCAAGUCGAGCGAAGCACUUAAGUGGAUUUUUUCGGGAUGAAGCUUAUUUGACUGAGCGGCGGACGGGUGAGUAACGCGUGGGUAACCUGCCUCAUACAGGGGAAUAACAGUUAGAAAUGACUGCUAAUGCCGCAUAAGCGCACACUACCGCAUGGUAGAGUGUGAAAAACUCCGGUGGUAUGAGAUGGACCCGCGUCUGAUUAGCUAGUUGGUGGGGUAACGGCCCACCAAGGCGACGAUCAGUAGCCGACCUGAGAGGGUGACCGGCCACAUUGGGACUGAGACACGGCCCAAACUCCUACGGGAGGCAGCAGUGGGGAAUAUUGCACAAUGGGGGAAACCCUGAUGCAGCGACGCCGCGUGGGUGAAGAAGUAUUUCGGUAUGUAAAGCCCUAUCAGC
This 430-nucleotide ribosomal RNA is filed under the name uncultured bacterium. Its description in RNAcentral is "SSU rRNA". It matches the Rfam family "Bacterial small subunit ribosomal RNA", at positions 28 to 440 of the family's 1533-position model. The record is from RNAcentral.